GAGAGUAUAGCUCAGUGGUAGAGCAUGUGCUUUGCAUGCAUGAGGUCCUGGGUUCAAUCCCCAGUAUCGCCA
This 72-nucleotide transfer RNA is filed under the name Camelus ferus (Wild Bactrian camel). It matches the Rfam family "tRNA". From Rfam's summary of the family: Transfer RNA (tRNA) molecules are approximately 80 nucleotides in length. Their secondary structure includes four short double-helical elements and three loops (D, anti-codon, and T loops). The record is from Rfam by way of RNAcentral. Lineage: Eukaryota; Metazoa; Chordata; Mammalia; Artiodactyla; Camelidae.